UGGGGAAUAUUGCACAAUGGGGAGGACCCUGAUGCAGCGACGCCGCGUGAGCGAAGAAGUAUUUCGGUAUGUAAAGCUCUAUCAGCAGGGAAGAAAAUGACGGUACCUGACUAAGAAGCCCCGGCUAACUACGUGCCAGCAGCCGCGGUAAUACGUAGGGGGCGAAGCGUUAUCCGGAUUUACUGGGUGUAAAGGGAGCGUAGACGGCGUAUCAAGUCUGAUGUGAAAGGCAUGGGCUCAACCCGUGGACUGCAUUGGAAACUGGUAUGCUUGAGUGCCGGAGGGGUAAGCGGAAUUCCUAGUGUAGCGGUGAAAUGCAUAGAUAUUAGGAGGAACACCAGUGGCGAAGGCGGCUUACUGGACUGUAACUGACACUGAGGCUCGAAAGCGUGGGGAGCAAAAGCAGGAUUAGAUACCC
Molecule: ribosomal RNA, 418 nt
Filed under: uncultured bacterium
Lineage: Bacteria
Description: bacterial SSU rRNA
Rfam family: Bacterial small subunit ribosomal RNA
Source: RNAcentral